Molecule: ribosomal RNA, 236 nt
Filed under: uncultured Lactobacillus sp.
Lineage: Bacteria; Bacillati; Bacillota; Bacilli; Lactobacillales; Lactobacillaceae
Description: partial 16S ribosomal RNA
Rfam family: Bacterial small subunit ribosomal RNA
Source: RNAcentral
UGCCCAAGAGAUCGGGAUAACACCUGGAAACAGAUGCUAAUACCGGAUAACAACAGAUGAUGCCUAUCAACUGUUUAAAAGAUGGUUCUGCUAUCACUCUUGGAUGGACCUGCGGUGCAUUAGCUAGUUGGUAGGGUAACGGCCUACCAAGGCGAUGAUGCAUAGCCGAGUUGAGAGACUGAUCGGCCACAUUGGGACUGAGACACGGCCCAAACUCCUACGGGAGGGCAGCAGCA